Molecule: long non-coding RNA, 1512 nt
Filed under: Marmota monax (woodchuck)
Lineage: Eukaryota; Metazoa; Chordata; Mammalia; Rodentia; Sciuridae
Source: RNAcentral
AUUUAGAGACAGGGUCUCAUUGCGUUGCUUGGUACUUUGCUUUUGCUGAGGCUGGCUUUGAAUUUGGAUCCUCCUGCAUCAGUCUUCUGAUUCCUGCUUCUUUUUAAAAUUUUGUUUUGAGAUAGCAUCUCAUUAAGUUGCCCAGGUUGGCCUUGAACUUACCAUCCUCCUGCCUCAGUCACCUCAGUAGCUGGAAUUAUAGAUGUGUGACACCAAACUUUCCAGAUUCCAGAACUUUCCCCAGGUUAUGCAGCUAGUAAGUGCUAUGACCAGGAUUUGUACCCAGUCAUUCUUACCCUUCAACCCAUGCUCUGAACCACUCUUCUCUACGUCCUCCAUUCCCUGAGGUCUCUGACAUCAUGAUUCUGGAUUCUCUCCAUGGCUUUUUCUCUCACCAGUGGUGCCAGAAAGAGAAUGUUCUUGGGACUUUCAUCUGAAAGUCCAGAAGAAAACAGCCUGUGUAAGUUAAGAGGCCCCUUACUUCCUCUGUACUAGAGAUGCCAAUCAAAGCUGUAUACUCCAAAGAUCCCGUAUCAGCAGGGAACAAUGUGUAUAGGAAGACAAACAAAUCCUAGCCAGGCAGGAAAGGGGAGUUCCUCAUGGUUCUGUGAUUUCCCCUUCUCUGUUCUCUGGCUUAUCAGCAAGGCUUCAUGGUACUGAUUCUAUAGUCCUUUGAACCCAGUGUGUUACGAUAGGACACCAGGAUAAAGAGACCCUUUCAGAACAAGAUAAAUAGCCUAAAUGGCCACUACUCAAAAUACAUACAUGCACAGAUUACAUCCAUGAUACUGAAUAUAAAGGAACAAAAAUAAAUCACAUUUAUUUAUACAUUUAACCAAUUGCUUUUAGCAUUCACUUAAUCAUUAGACGUGGCGGUGUUUGUGAAUCCAUGUAAGCCUUGCAAGAUGCUGAAAGGUAAGUAUUAUUAUUCUCAUUUUACAGACAAGGAGACUGGGCCCUUUUGUCCAUAUUGCCCAUGGCCACAUGGUGGUAAGAAGGCAGCUGGAAUCCAAACCUAGGUUUGGUCAGUCUGAUUCCAAAAUCUGCAUUCUUUUCAAUAAAAUGACUGCUGAAAAGAACAAAAUUACGAGACUGGAAAGAUCUCAAAAUAUAUUUGAUUUAUAGUUUUCAUAAGUAAAGGUGUUACACUUUAUGAUAGUAACUUCUAUUUAUUGCAUGCUUACUAAGUGCCAGGCAUUGGGACCAAAGGCUUCCCAUGCAUUAUCUAUGCUACUUAGUGAGACACAAGCUCAAAAGAGUUAGGUAACUGGCACAAAGUCACAUACAAGCCAAAUAAGCAAUGAAUCUGAGCUUCAAACCCAAGUCUACUUGAUUCCAGAGUGUGUGUUCUUAAACACAAUGGCAAUAACAAUGAUGAUAAUGUACAUUGACUAUAAGCCAAGUUCUGCUUUAAGUGCUUUGUAUCUUAUAAUCUAGAGAUAUUAUUAUCAGGGCUGGGGUUGUGGCUCAUCAGUAGAGUGCUCGCCUUGCAAGUGCGAGACCCUGGGUUCA